UGCAGUCGACGCUUCUUUUUCACCGAACUUCGGUUCAUCGAAAAAGAGGAGUGGCGAACGGGUGAGUAACACGUGGGUAACCUGCCCAUCAGAAGGGGAUAACACUUGGAAACAGGUGCUAAUACCGUAUAAUGCUAUUUCUCGCAUGAGAGACAGCUGAAAGGCGCUUUUGCGUCACUGAUGGAUGGACCCGCGGUGCAUUAGCUAGUUGGUGAGGUAACGGCUCACCAAGGCCACGAUGCAUAGCCGACCUGAGAGGGUGAUCGGCCACACUGGGACUGAGACACGGCCCAGACUCCUACGGGAGGCAGCAGUAGGGAAUCUUCGGCAAUGGACGAAAGUCUGACCGAGCAACGCCGCGUGAGUGAAGAAGGUUUUCGGAUCGUAAAACUCUGUUGUUAGAGAAGAACAAGGAUGAGAAGAGAAUGUUCAUCCCUUGACGGUAUCUAACCAGAAAGCCACGG
RNAcentral lists this ribosomal RNA (464 nucleotides) under Enterococcus olivae. Its description in RNAcentral is "bacterial SSU rRNA". It matches the Rfam family "Bacterial small subunit ribosomal RNA", at positions 56 to 496 of the family's 1533-position model. Lineage: Bacteria; Bacillati; Bacillota; Bacilli; Lactobacillales; Enterococcaceae. The record is from RNAcentral.